UCUUCAUUUCACACACUCUCUCACCGGUCAGAGAGGCGAGAGAGUGUGCGAAAUGAAGAGA
Pristionchus pacificus is the source of this 61-nucleotide non-coding RNA. The record is from Rfam. Lineage: Eukaryota; Metazoa; Nematoda; Chromadorea; Rhabditida; Neodiplogasteridae.